GAUGAACGCUGGCGGCGUGCUUAACACAUGCAAGUCGAGCGGAAAGGCUCCUGCUUGCAGGGGUACUCGAGUGGCGAACGGGUGAGUAACACGUGGGUGAUCUGCCCUGCACUUCGGGAUAAGCCUGGGAAACUGGGUCUAAUACCGGAUAGGACCACAUUUUGGAUGGUGUGGUGGAAAGUUUUUCGGUGUGGGAUGAGCUCGCGGCCUAUCAGCUUGUUGGUGGGGUAAUGGCCUACCAAGGCGUCGACGGGUAGCCGGCCUGAGAGGGUGUACGGCCACAUUGGGACUGAGAUACGGCCCAGACUCCUACGGGAGGCAGCAGUGGGGAAUAUUGCACAAUGGGCGCAAGCCUGAUGCAGCGACGCCGCGUGGGGGAUGACGGCCUUCGGGUUGUAAACUCCUUUCGCUAGGGACGAAGCGCAAGUGACGGUACCUGGAGAAGAAGCACCGGCUAACUACGUG
RNAcentral lists this ribosomal RNA (465 nucleotides) under uncultured bacterium. Its description in RNAcentral is "partial 16S ribosomal RNA". It matches the Rfam family "Bacterial small subunit ribosomal RNA", at positions 28 to 507 of the family's 1533-position model. The record is from RNAcentral.